AGUCGAACGGCAGCACGGGUGCUUGCACCUGGUGGCGAGUGGCGAACGGGUGAGUAAUAUAUCGGAACGUACCCGGAAAUGGGGGAUAACGUAGCGAAAGUUACGCUAAUACCGCAUAUGCCCUGAGGGGGAAAGCGGGGGAUUCGUAAGAACCUCGCGUUUUCGGAGCGGCCGAUAUCGGAUUAGCUAGUAGGUGAGGUAAAGGCUCACCUAGGCGACGAUCCGUAGCUGGUCUGAGAGGACGACCAGCCACACUGGAACUGAGACACGGUCCAGACUCCUACGGGAGGCAGCAGUGGGGAAUUUUGGACAAUGGGCGCAAGCCUGAUCCAGCCAUGCCGCGUGAGUGAAGAAGGCCUUCGGGUUGUAAAGCUCUUUCAGCCGGAAAGAAAACGCACAAGUUAAUACCCUGUGUGGAUGACGGUAC
Molecule: ribosomal RNA, 427 nt
Filed under: uncultured bacterium
Lineage: Bacteria
Description: bacterial SSU rRNA
Rfam family: Bacterial small subunit ribosomal RNA
Source: RNAcentral